GUAAUGGUGUCUUUAGACACCACCUGUUUCUUCAAAAAAAAAAUU
Molecule: non-coding RNA, 45 nt
Organism: Picea glauca (white spruce)
Lineage: Eukaryota; Viridiplantae; Streptophyta; Pinopsida; Pinales; Pinaceae
Source: Rfam